This 353-nucleotide RNase P RNA is filed under the name Lachnospiraceae bacterium. RNAcentral describes it as "RNase P RNA component class A". It matches the Rfam family "Bacterial RNase P class A". From Rfam's summary of the family: Ribonuclease P (RNase P) is a ubiquitous endoribonuclease, found in archaea, bacteria and eukarya as well as chloroplasts and mitochondria. Its best characterised activity is the generation of mature 5'-ends of tRNAs by cleaving the 5'-leader elements of precursor-tRNAs. Lineage: Bacteria; Bacillati; Bacillota; Clostridia; Lachnospirales; Lachnospiraceae. The record is from RNAcentral.
UAAGCAGAAUGAACAAUCGCGGCUGCAUUCGUGCAGGUGAGGAAAGUCCGGGCUUCACAGGGCAGGAUGCCGGAUAACGUCCGGUGGAGGUGACUCUAAGGAAAGUGCAACAGAAAUAUACCGCCGUUCGGGGCGAAAGCACCGUUCUGGUAAGGGUGGAAAGGCAGUGUAAGAGACUACCGUGUGGCUGGUAACAGCCAUAGCCAUGUAAACCCCAUCCGAAGCAAGACCAAACAGAAAGCCAUAGACUUGCCCGGUCUGCUUUCAGGUAGGUCGCUUGAGGCUGUCGGUAACGGCAGUCCUAGAUAGAUGAUUGUUCUCGACAUAACCCGGCUUAUAGUUCUGCUUACUCU